This 463-nucleotide ribosomal RNA is filed under the name uncultured bacterium. RNAcentral's name for it is "partial 16S ribosomal RNA". It matches the Rfam family "Bacterial small subunit ribosomal RNA", at positions 28 to 507 of the family's 1533-position model. The record is from RNAcentral.
GACGAACGCUGGCGGCGUGCUUAACACAUGCAAGUCGAACGGAAAGGCCUUUUCGGAGGUACUCGAGUGGCGAACGGGUGAGUAACACGUGGGUGAUCUGCCCUGCACUCUGGGAUAAGCCUGGGAAACUGGGUCUAAUACCGGAUAGGACCGCACUUUAGUGUGUGUGGUGGAAAGUUUUUUCGGUGUAGGAUGGGCCCGCGGCCUAUCAGCUUGUUGGUGGGGUAAUGGCCUACCAAGGCGGCGACGGGUAGCCGGACUGAGAGGUUGGUCGGCCACAUUGGGACUGAGAUACGGCCCAGACUCCUACGGGAGGCAGCGGUGGGGAAUAUUGCACAAUGGGCGCAAGCCUGAUGCAGCGACGCCGCGUGGGGGAUGACGGCCUUCGGGUUGUAAACUCCUUUCGCCAGGGACGAAGCGUUUUGUGACGGUACCUGGAGAAGAAGCACCGGCUAACUACGUG